ACUGCUAUCCAGCAGGGCUCCAGUGGAUGUCUGCCAGUGGUUCACCUGGUGCUGUCAGAGAAACCUUGUUUCAUCUGGAGGGGCUUUGCUGUGGAUAAGAGGAGUUCUGUGGUGAUCCUAUUCAAUGGGCUAUUGUGAAGAAUCAAGGAGCCAAACUAGGUAAACCACAGAAGAGCUGAUCCAGGGUUGGGGCUGCCCACAGAGGCUAGGAGGGAGCCAGGAGCGACUGGAACCAGGCAUCUGUUCAGAGCCAUCCUUGUGCCAGCAGCUCCCUGCACAUCACACUGUCUUCACCCCUCACAACUUCCCUGCUGUGGGGGCGUCCUCUUCACUUUACAGAUGAGGAAACUAGCUCUUAGGUCAAAGGACUCAGCUGAACAAGGGUUCCAACCCAUGUUUGGCUGCGGAAGACAGAGCCUUCCUUUCGGCCUCUCCCCAGCCUUUACUGACUGCCUCCUGCGGCUUACCCGUUGUCAUGGGUGCUGGCCUCGACUGGGCCCUCAAGGGGCUCACAGAUCUUGGUGGACAAUAUCGAAGUUCUGUGUGAAAUCCAAGAGUAGUUUUGCAAGUUACUUCGAGAGCACUUAGCUCCUGAGGCAACGAUGCCCCGGAUGGAAGUUUAAGUAAAUCAGAUGUGGAAAACUUUUUGGCACUUCAGGACAACGGCAGUUUCUCAUCCUGCACAGAGCUUGGCUGAGGCUGGUGCCCUGUAUCUGUGAUGGACGUUGGAAACAGAAGCAAGGUGAGAAUUUGGAGAUGACCGAAACACCAGGAAGGUCAUCACUGGUCUCUGGAGGAAGCAACUAUGGGGUGGUUUGAAUACGUCACGGUGACUGUGACAUUGAAAACAAUGCAUCCA
This is a long non-coding RNA of Hyaena hyaena (striped hyena), 859 nucleotides long. RefSeq lists it as uncharacterized. Lineage: Eukaryota; Metazoa; Chordata; Mammalia; Carnivora; Hyaenidae. The record is from RefSeq and is a predicted model, not a curated record. The transcript has 4 exons.